Non-coding RNA from Xylaria arbuscula, 105 nucleotides. The record is from the annotation of a GenBank genome assembly. NCBI's taxonomy places the organism in Eukaryota, Fungi, Ascomycota, Sordariomycetes, Xylariales, Xylariaceae.
GGCCAGGUGGCGGAGUGGUUAUCGCGCAGCACUCGAAUUAAGCUACUCUAUAGUUGUCGACAUGCUGUUCCCUCGGGAGCGUCUGUUCGAAUCAGGCCCUGGUCG